AUAAAUCCUCAGCAACAAAUUCUGAUGACUCAGGAAAGGAUGUAAUGGAAAUUAUACCCUUGGACAAUGGUUCCAAAAUACCAAUAAAAAAAAGUUGUUCCAAUAAGAGAUGCCAAAAGUUGCUCCCCUUAAUAAAAACCUGGAUAUAGAAAUUAAAAAA
Molecule: non-coding RNA, 160 nt
Organism: Onthophagus taurus
Lineage: Eukaryota; Metazoa; Arthropoda; Insecta; Coleoptera; Scarabaeidae
Source: RefSeq, a predicted model, not a curated record